GACGAACGCUGGCGGCGUGCUUAACACAUGCAAGUCGAACGGAAAGGCCCUGCUUUUGUGGGGUGCUCGAGUGGCGAACGGGUGAGUAACACGUGAGUAACCUGCCCUUGACUUUGGGAUAACUUCAGGAAACUGGGGCUAAUACCGGAUAGGAGCUCCUGCUGCAUGGUGGGGGUUGGAAAGUUUCGGCGGUUGGGGAUGGACUCGCGGCUUAUCAGCUUGUUGGUGGGGUAGUGGCUUACCAAGGCUUUGACGGGUAGCCGGCCUGAGAGGGUGACCGGGCACAAUGGGACUGAGGUACGGCCCAGACGCCUACGGGGGGCAGCAGGGGAGAAUAUUGCACAAUGGGCGGAAGCCUGAUGCAGCAACGCCGCGUGCGGGAUGACGGCCUUCGGGGUGUAAAGCGCUUUCGCCUGUGACGAAGCGUGAGUGACGGUAAUGGGUAAAGAAGCACCGGCUAACUACGUG
This 468-nucleotide ribosomal RNA is filed under the name uncultured bacterium. RNAcentral's name for it is "partial 16S ribosomal RNA". It matches the Rfam family "Bacterial small subunit ribosomal RNA", at positions 28 to 507 of the family's 1533-position model. The record is from RNAcentral.